Molecule: ribosomal RNA, 114 nt
Filed under: Acanthosepion pharaonis
Lineage: Eukaryota; Metazoa; Mollusca; Cephalopoda; Sepiida; Sepiidae
Source: RNAcentral
UUACGGUCAAAUCACGCUGAAACACCGGUUCUCGUACGAUCACCGAAGUUAAGCAUCUUAGAGCCAGGUCAGUACUUAGAUGGGGGACCGCUUGGGAACACCUGGUACUGUAAG